Long non-coding RNA from Bos taurus (domestic cattle), 3433 nucleotides. The record is from Ensembl. NCBI's taxonomy places the organism in Eukaryota, Metazoa, Chordata, Mammalia, Artiodactyla, Bovidae.
GUGUUUCUCUCUUUUAUUUAAAAACAGUGCUUCAUUACCAUUUGCAAAGGCAGAGGCAGUGCUCUUCCUUUGCUUAGAGUUUAUAAAAGCCAGCAACAUGAUCAAUAAUUUAUACACAUGGAUAGUAAUACAAAAAAAAAAUAAGGAAUCAAAGCUAAAGAUCUAACUACUCCGACCUUCACAAUUCCAGCUACUUGAUAAUAAUAGGAGUAACCCAAUGAAUACUGUAUGGUCUAAAAGCUACUAUACAAUAUGAUUCUUAACGAGAGGGGAGGGAUUAGAGACUGUCACAAAGCCCUGGGUGCUUCUCUGGAGUUGGCAGGGAAACAGGACCCUGGGCAAGCAGCUCGGGUGUCCUAGGAAGUGAUUCCGGGGGGCAGGGAGGGGAGGGAGAAAAGGCCAGGCGGUGGAUUAUGCAAGCAUCCCAUGGGAGGCCCCCGUGCCCUGCAGGUACCUGUUUUGCCAUGGCAUCGGGAGGGGGCCUGAGAAACUGCAAGUAGGGAUGUUUCCGUCCCUGCCACGGGGAGCGGGGAGAAGAGGGGAGGUUUGCUGGCGAUUUUAGCCUUGCAGAGAUUUGGACUGAAAAGCUCAGAGACUCAGGUGGGUCAGCCUGUCGGGGACAAGCCAACCCGCCCGGCUCUCUCAGCACUCUGCAGCCCUAGCUUAGUGUGUCAGCCCCAGGUUUGCUCCAGCUGUUCACAAGCAGGAUUAUAACACAAGGAGAAAACAAUUAAUAUCCCGUAGGGGGAAAAAAAAAAGGAUCAAUUCAUCACUCGAUAUAUAAUACAGCCAAAAUGAGCUGCCAAAACUUUGCACACACACACACAAAAUACUGUGAACAGAAAAAUACAAAAAAAAAAAUGAAGAAGCUGGGGGCCUGGCGGGGUAUUGAUGCUGCUUAAAGCACUCAUCGGUCCCCAGAAAAACCAAACCAAAAGACAUUUUUUAAAAAAUUCAAAAACGUAUGUACCCCCUGGGAAUCUGGCAUUGGUAACAGGAGUGGGGAGUGGGGGUGCGGGGUUGCGGGGAGAAAAGAGAAUUGCUGUUCCCUUUUUGCUGGCGGGUGUGAGCUAAGCCCUCACCACACCGGCUGGUGUGUGAGUCACUGCCAGGCGGGGCCCCUCCAGCUGGCGGUCCCCUUCAAGGCCAGGUCUGAGUGGUGGCCGAUGAGCCGUUCUCUCCGUUACCAAGCCCUGCCAACCAGCACUACCAUGGCUGAAGGAUCGACCGUUUUCCUGAGUAAGCUGUAACUGGCUACAGUUCUGGUAACGUGGAGAACUCAGCUGCUGUGGCCGCGGGCCCACGGGCUCUGUGCGAGUGCUCCCCUGGCCCCCUCGGCUCCUCCUUCCUAGUGCACUGGAGUUGGGAAUUGGAGAAUUUGCUGUGGCCUGGUCUGGAAGCCUUAAAGAUGGGGGCCAGGGACUCGACGGCAGCCGCUGGACCAGAGGGCACCCCCCGGCUGAGGACACCCAGAGUCUACUUGGAAAGGGCCCUGCUCCUCGCUGCAGCUCCUGAUGGCUACUGCCUGGUUGAUCAGUCAGGCGAGGAUGAAGGAAGAACACAGGAGAAGGGAAAGGGAGGGAAGAGGCUUUCAGACAGUAACAUUUCCAAAAAAAUAGUGUUUUAUGCAACAGAGCAUCAGGCUUCACCGGUGGAUACUACAAACGGUCAAACAUUUUCAAGAGCAUGACAAAAGAAAAACACACAAGCUUACGUUGGAUGUUCACCUUGCCCACUAUAUAUUUUUUUUUCCUAUCUUAAAACAGUGCAAACAGUAACUUAUGCUUUUAAAACACCACUAUCCCUUCCCCACCCACCAAAGUCCCUUUCCUCCUAUCUCCUGGGGGAAACAAGUCUGUGAUUUUGCACAUGGUACUGUGCUAUAGGGGGUUGCAAGCAGCAGAGAAGCGGCGGGCUUGGUGGAAGGGGGUGGCGAUGACUCAAACUUCUCUGCCAGAACUCUAGGAAGUAGAACCUAAACCAAGAGCAGUUCAGCCCCUGAGGAGUCACUUGCAGGAAAAGCUGCUAUCAUUGAUUUCUACUGAAUAGAGCCCACUAGCUCCCCUGAAACUAAGAGCUGAGCCCCAGUUCCCUUCUUUUUCAAGGAAAGAUAAUAUUGGCUCAAUUCCACCCAUGGCUGCUGGAGGAGGAUGGUGCCGGUAGGUUUUGUAAAACCUGAGAGCCUUAAAAAUGACAAAUCGCAACAGCUGAUCAGGGUCAGUGGGAGCCGAAUUACGUAAUAUAAUGGGUUCUGGAGAAGCUCUGAGGACAGCUCUCUGGGCUGAAAGACGGAUAUUCAGCUAAAGGUGUUUACUAGAGGAUUCCUGGAAGGAGCCCGGCUUCUAAGAGUAAGAAGUGUGGUAGAGAAGUCUACAUGGUGACCUACAGUUGAAGUCAUUCACGUGACUCAGCAUGGGUAAGUUUUCUAGACUUAUCCACCAGCAUCCUCUAACAAACUCACGAGAUGCCAACUCUCUUCUGACUUUGUUUCUGAGUCCACUGGGAACGAAAGUCAGGAAGAAACAAGCACUGAUGGUUUGAGGAACCUGCCUCUGACGAAGCUGCCUGUGUGGAGUCUCGAAGUUCAGAAGCUGAUGGGGCAGGUUGAUGCCAGUAAACUGAGGUGCUUCAAGAACCCCAGUCAGCGCUGACACUGAAAACCAAAGGCCCUUUAAUAACGAUUUAGUCUUUCUUAGUAAAGGGAGCUGAAGGAAGCAGUGUUAACACCAUCCCUGGAAGUACAGCAGAGGCCCACUGGAAAACACAGAGCUUGCCUACCGCAUCCUCAGCCAGAGCCAGCUGAACUGAAAUGUACGAAAGCUCAGGCCUCUGCCUCUUUUAAAAAGGGCUGUAGAAGCUGCCUUCCCUGCCUUUCCCAUCACUAUUCCCUCUUUCUGGAAAAAAGAAAAGAAAAUCCUUAAACUCACUGCCCUGUUCUCUUCUGCCAUGGAUACAACUAUUUAGAAUUUGGCCUUGUCUCCACUGAAGCAGUGGCUCACCAUUUGUUAGAAUGGCCCCUGUAUGAACAGGACACAACAUUUCUCUCAGAUUCUUUAGUCAGUAAAAGCUCUCCCUCAAAACAAAAGCGAAAGAAAGAAAAAUCCUCUCUGCCCCCAGUCCCUUGGACUGUGAAAGCCCCACAUCCCAUUCCCCCACCCCGAACUGAAAUACUUAUAUACACACAAGAAAAAUUGUCUUAACAGCAACAAACCAAACUUUGGCUUGGGGAGGAGAACCCUUAGAAAAUGGCCAAUGGACUGGGCAGUCUGGCGUACUCUAAUCGUGCAUUCCUCCCCAGAAUGAGUAAGAUUGCAUCGAGGCCUCUAGCUUCCUUGAUGUCUCCCCUGGUUUCAGUUUCAGGGAAGCCUCUCUCCCAGUUAUUAGGAGAGAAAGGAUUCUGAAGGGGGAGAAGAUAUGUAUUAUACAUGACAGG